UCCCGCUCCGCCGCCAGCCGGUCCCAGUCCCGCCCCGCCGCCAGCCGGUCUCAAUCCCAGCCUGCCGUCAACCAGUCUCAGUCCCGCACCGCCGCCAAGAGCGGCCGUAGCGGCUCCCGCUUCAACCUCGAGGCGUUCAUCCAGGAACAGCGGAACAAGGGCGUACCCAUCGCCGACGUCGGCACCUUCGGCCUGCCCGGCCUGCCCGCCCCGGAUCAGGGACCGGCAGCGGCCGCCGGCGAGGCCUCUUCAGGCCAGCUCGCGGUCCCGGCCCACUCCUUCCGCGGCGCCACCCUCAGCGCCGCCAGCGCCGCCAGCGCCACCAGCGUCAAUCGACGGCCGCGACGCCGCCAGCGCCACCUGCGCCACAGGUGACCUCCACCUCUGGGCGGCGGCGCGGUGGCAGCUUUGACCUGGAGGAGUACACCGGCCAGGCGACACGGGUGGCGCGGCGCGGCCGGCGGCCGGCGCAGGCGGCUAGGGAGCAGGCGGUGCCGCGGCCUGCGGCGGGGAGGGGCCGCGGCCGCGGUCGCUACAGGCGACCCCAGGCGGAGCCGGAAGAGACGCCUCCGGCUGCGCGGGAGGUGACGAAGACGGCGCCGCGACGCAGCCGCCGGCCACCGCAGAGCGCUGGGACGUCUGGGGGCGGAGCGCCGCCGCUGCGGAGGCGACUGCCCGGCAGGCGCCAGCCCACGGCGACGGUACGGGCGCCCAACUCCAGGCGCGGCAAGUCCCUGGAGUUCGAGCCGGAAACGCUGCCGCAGCUGCAGGAACAGGACGGGGAUGUGCUCGAAGUGCCGCCCGAGCUGGCCGCCUUCAUCGCGCCGGGCAUCGCGCCGCAUUCGGGCAACGGUCAGCUAUCCUCCGUGCAGCUGGAUCAACUCGCCGUGAGUGCGGCGCAGCUGCUGCCCGCGGGAGUGAUCGAAGAGUUCACCACGGCCCGCCAGGGGAGGUCGUAUCUACCAGAUGGCACACGGUCACUGACGCAGUCUCUGACGUCACACAACGCGCCGUCCGCCGACAAAGCCUCACGGUUCGCCUACCUGCCGGAGCCGAAUGGGAGGACUGAGCUGUCUUCCGUUCAGACGUCUUCCAAGCCAGCAUAUCUUCCUCAGCCGGGCGACAUCAGCCCGCCGGACGCCAAACCUUCCUACCUUCCCGAAGCGGGGCGCGGCGGCCUCCCGCGGCCGUCUCUUUUCGACGGUCUUCCACUGCCGCCGCCCGCCGAGGGGCAUUCGAAGCCAGAGCCGGCGCCGGCGGCGGCGGAGUGUGGCGCCGACCCUGGCGCGAUCCGACUAGAGCUGCGGUUUUUGCAGCCGUGCCGGGCGGACGCCGACUGCCCGCUAAAUCUGGCCUGCUUCGCUGCCGCCAUGCCGUGCCCGGGCACCGAGACUAAAGAAACGGACUCCGUGUGCCUGCCAGCCAUGGGGGCCGGCGCCGCCUGCUCCAGAGCCACCCACUGCACGUCCGGGGGAUGCCAAGAGGGGCUCUGCCUCUAGAGCCAGACGUCCGCCGCUGUCACGUGAUCAGCACUCGUCUCAAAGCCGACGGAACACACCCUUCGACGCGUACGAAGGUGCAGAACGCCAAACGACCACGUCAACAGGACCCCCUCCCCCCCCCCCCCCCUCCCGCCAUAGUGUGCUACUGGACUUCCGAAGUGCGUCCCAUUCACGCGCCGGCGAGUGGUCCACUCACAACAUACACGUGACGGAUAUCCAGAAUACGUCCCGCGGACGUCCAGGACGCGUCCCGAGCACGUCCGGGACACGUCCAGAAGACGUCCGAAACACGUCCGGCCUUCCAAGGAGCGACCGGAGCCUGGUCUCGAGUCCCCUCCAGCCGGGCUGCCGCCGGACGAUCGAGAUAGAUCACCGCCGCAACACUAUUUUCAGCUUUGCGAAGAGCGUUUUACGCUCUUGAGCGUUUGCGAAGCGAGCGCUUGCGAGGAGCGUUUCACGCUCUUCGCGACGGAGCGCGCCCCCAGUGGGAAGCGCAUCAGCGGUCGCGGUGUCCGCUCCGUCUACCGUCCAUCGGCGAUUGUUGAGGAGCGAUUUCGAGUGCGAACUGUCGCGGCGUACGUGCGGUGUGGGAGAGCCGUAUAGCGGCGGCAUCGGCUCUGGUACGCUGACAGUGUGCUUUGGUAGAAUUGGCUGCUGAAACAUAUAGCGAGUACGUAAUUCCUAAGGGAUUUGUGGUGGCAAUGUUGUGUUUAAGAAAAAAAGGAAUACAAAAGCAUCAUUAG
RNAcentral lists this long non-coding RNA (2245 nucleotides) under Pollicipes pollicipes. Its description in RNAcentral is "uncharacterized LOC119099333". Lineage: Eukaryota; Metazoa; Arthropoda; Thecostraca; Pollicipedomorpha; Pollicipedidae. The record is from RNAcentral.